Long non-coding RNA from Mangifera indica (mango), 517 nucleotides. RefSeq lists it as uncharacterized. The transcript has 2 exons. Lineage: Eukaryota; Viridiplantae; Streptophyta; Magnoliopsida; Sapindales; Anacardiaceae. The record is from RefSeq and is a predicted model, not a curated record.
AAAUCUGACCCCUCGGCGUCUCUUCACUCAAAAUAUCUGCGGUUUUCUUUCACUGCGGCUCUAUUCUCUCUCUAUUCUCUCAUCUGGAAAAUCAAGAUUCGAUGUUUAUAGUUGAUCCAAUGGUGAAAAUAGAUACGUUUUAUGAUUCUUGAUGUAAUGAUCUAUCGAUUGAGAUGCGUUAGAACGGCUGUUAAUCUGUCAUAUUUUGAUGGUUACAAUCUCUCUAUUCGUCCUCGCCUCCUCGGAUUAUCGAAACUCAGUAAGUUUUUCUGCAUGUUGGUUGGUUGAUGAUGUUGCAAAUAACAAUUGUGUCUUUGAUGUAUUCGAGAAAAGGCCGGGCUCAACUUCCGUACAUUUUCAGUAAGUUUUUUUCUUUUUCUUUACGUAAUAAUCGUGUGUAAUGGCUUCUCUGAUUCUUGAAGUAUUUGAAGACCCAGUGCAAGCCUUGGAAGAUGGAACAUGUUUUACCUUGAAUUUGGUAAAUAAAAAGAUCACAAUGGCAAAUUAUUAUUAAUUA